Non-coding RNA from Pelobates cultripes (western spadefoot toad), 201 nucleotides. Lineage: Eukaryota; Metazoa; Chordata; Amphibia; Anura; Pelobatidae. The record is from the annotation of a GenBank genome assembly.
CUUAGGUGGUUUUUGGAGCAAUAGUGAUUCUCUCUGUGUCUUAUCUAUUGAUAUUAUAGUUUUGUCUAUUGUUUUGGGGUUGUAGCCUUUUUGUAUGAACUUUUGUUUCAUGUUAGUUGCUUGAGUGUGAAAUACUGAUGCUUCUGAGCAGUUUCUUUUCAGUCUGAGGAAUUGGCUUUUGGGUAUUCCAUUGAGCCAUAU